Balaenoptera ricei (Rice's whale) is the source of this 209-nucleotide long non-coding RNA. RefSeq lists it as uncharacterized. The record is from RefSeq and is a predicted model, not a curated record. The transcript has 3 exons. NCBI's taxonomy places the organism in Eukaryota, Metazoa, Chordata, Mammalia, Artiodactyla, Balaenopteridae.
AGAGGAAGGCACUAUUUUCAUGUCCGUUUUACAAACGCAAGACGGAGACUUGGGGACUUGCCCAGUGAAGAAGAAAUAAAAGAUUCCCAGGAUGAAGAUUUUCCAGAAGGGACUUUGAGUUAAAGAAGACUUCUUAUAUGUAACAAGUGUUGUCAGCUGUAAUGAAGAACACUGUGAGACAGAAGAUUGAAUAAAGCCUUGUAACAACU